Molecule: ribosomal RNA, 301 nt
Filed under: uncultured bacterium
Lineage: Bacteria
Description: partial 16S ribosomal RNA
Rfam family: Bacterial small subunit ribosomal RNA
Source: RNAcentral
CAGCCGCCGCGGUAAUACGUAGGUCCCGAGCGUUGUCCGGAUUUAUUGGGCGUAAAGCGAGCGCAGGCGGUUAGAUAAGUCUGAAGUUAAAGGCUGUGGCUUAACCAUAGUACGCUUUGGAAACUGUUUAACUUGAGUGCAAGAGGGGAGAGUGGAAUUCCAUGUGUAGCGGUGAAAUGCGUAGAUAUAUGGAGGAACACCGGUGGCGAAAGCGGCUCUCUGGCUUGUGACUGACGCUGAGGCUCGAAAGCGUGGGGAGCAAACAGGAUUAGAUACCCGCGUAGUCCCUGUCUCUUAUACA